RNAcentral lists this ribosomal RNA (242 nucleotides) under uncultured bacterium. RNAcentral describes it as "partial 16S ribosomal RNA". It matches the Rfam family "Bacterial small subunit ribosomal RNA", at positions 15 to 252 of the family's 1533-position model. The record is from RNAcentral.
GAUUAUGGCUCAGGACGAACGCUGGCGGCGCGCCUAACACAUGCAAGUCGAACGAGAGAGAAGGAGCUUGCUUCUUCGAUCGAGUGGCGAACGGGUGAGUAACGCGUGAGGAACCUGCCUCAAAGAGGGGGACAACAGUUGGAAACGACUGCUAAUACCGCAUAAGCCCACGGGUCGGCAUCGACCUGAGGGAAAAGGAGCAAUCUGCUUUGGGAUGGCCUCGCGUCCGAUUAGCUAGUUGG